Molecule: ribosomal RNA, 187 nt
Filed under: uncultured Oceanospirillales bacterium
Lineage: Bacteria; Pseudomonadati; Pseudomonadota; Gammaproteobacteria; Oceanospirillales
Description: partial 16S ribosomal RNA
Rfam family: Bacterial small subunit ribosomal RNA
Source: RNAcentral
GGGGAUAACCUGGGGAAACCCAGGCUAAUACCGCAUACGUCCUACGGGAGAAAGGGGGCUUCGGCUCCCGCUAUCGGAUGAGCCUAUGCCGGAUUAGCUGGUUGGUGAGGUAAUGGCUCACCAAGGCGACGAUCCGUAGCUGGUCUGAGAGGACGAUCAGCCACAUCGGGACUGAGACACGGCCCGA